This is a non-coding RNA of Xyrichtys novacula (pearly razorfish), 14376 nucleotides long. The record is from the annotation of a GenBank genome assembly. Lineage: Eukaryota; Metazoa; Chordata; Actinopteri; Labriformes; Labridae.
UAGAUCUGUGUUAAAAUCGACAGUAUUAAAAAUAUGUGGCAUAAGGUAACAUUAUAGCAUGUUCAGAGGCAAGUGUGUUAAAAGGCCAAUCACCAAUUUUAAGAAACACCAGUCCUCAUAAAAAUGUCUCGUCUCAUCUUGGACUGGGACUGAUAAGCAGGUUUAAUAAUGGUAUCAAUUAAUAACAGUUAACAAUCCCUCCACGAGUAUUUCCUCGGUGUAAAAGUGUUCAGUCUCAGUAAAUAUAUUGGAAAUCCAUGUCAACCUCCUGUCAAUAACUAUUUCUCCACAGCAAAACAACAGUCACUAUGUCACAAAUACAAUUUCUUUCUAAUCCAAUUCCACCCAAGAAAUGCAAUCAGAGAAGAACUGUGUAUGAAAUUGUUCAGACUUCUUCCUGCAGUUUUGCUCAUUAAUGCAGAGCUUUUGUUUUCAGGCUACAAUAUUAUUACUGCUGUGUGCAUGCAGUUUAAUUUCUUGAGUUGUUAAUGAAAGCUUCAAAGAAAUUUUGAGUGUCUUGGAAAACCAUGCCAGCAGAUAUUUGGCUGUAUUAUGCCAAACAUUGAUGUAUGAAAGUGAUUUCGCUCACAGCUAUGAGGGAUUUUUACAAGAGUUGUUCCUGUUUUUGUCAGCCUGUGCUGAAAGUUGUCAUCAUACUUGUCGUUGCUGUUAAACUGUAACAGUAGCAGCACUUGAGGAACAGGAGAAUGAGAGCGCAACGCUGGAAGGUUGAGAUGGAUUGAGCGAUAGAGAAAGGGACACCUUGGCUGAUAGGUGGGUGUAUAGAGAGGCUGAUGGAUGAAGUGCUGACCUUUGUGAAUGUCAGAAACCAUAGGUGUGUAAUCCUUGCUCUCACCUCAGGCCUUCAUUAUGGAGACAUUGCCUUUUAAAAGUGCCUGGAAAGUGUUUACAAAGAUGAGGAUGAAGACGAAGAACUGGAGCAAUGCCGUUUCCAUUACAGAUGAUCUUGUGAUUGAACAAAGUGCACCUCAGAAUAGGAUAAACUUGAAAGACUCAGCUUAGUUCCUUUACUGAGUUUUCAGAUGACAGUUUUUAACACACUGACCUUCAUGUUGCCCAAUUUGAAAGCCAUAACACUUCUUUUUCUGUAAAAAUGUUCAGUGUGAAAUACUGGAUAAUGCAUGGUUAUGCUGUUACUUGGCUAAAAGUAUCACCUCUGACAAAAGAAAGUCAUAUAGGCUUAAUUUUAAAUUUGUGGGAAUCUCCACCUCUACUUUUAGUACUGCUGUGAUGCCCCUGCACACACUAAGACCCAAACUGCAGUUUAAAAAAGCUGCUUCACAUUGGUUGAAGCUGAGUUUACAUCAAACUGGCCUAUCCAGGGAGGGUCAAAUAAUACGCCAAGGGGUAAGACAAAUACCAGGAACAGGCUGUAUUUAAAUUAGGUAGGGUAGGAUGCUUAAAUGCUAAGGUGUUGCAGUACAAUAGUAAAAAAAAACUGGCAAAUGACACCAAAUGUUAAUGACUUGGGGGGGAAAAAUGGCAUGAACAAGCAAUGUGCAUGUUUAAUCGACUAAAUGAUUAAAUGGGCAGAGGAUCAGUAUCAGCCCGAAUGAUUGUCAUUGAAAUAAAAUUAAUGGUGGGACAAAGAAGAGGACCAGACUGUAGUCCUUGGAAUCCAGGCCAUAUGUUCUGUCUAUGAACGAACUGGGAUUACAGCUCGAGUUAAGAACUACUGUCAUCAUGCUCUUAUCAUCUAAAUCAGCACAGGAGCAAAUAAGCACAUAUGAAAGAUGGCGUUUUGUAGUGCCACACCUAAAUGUUGACUGUUGUGACUGAUUGAUUGAACUGGCAUGUUGGCGCUAAACAGGAGCAAUGCAUAUGGGGACAUAAACCUGCAAAGAUAACUUAAGGCUGGUGGUGAUAGAUCUGCUAAUGCUAGCAGGGGUGUCCCAAUACAACUUUUUUACUUUGAAUACAAUACCGAUAUUGCAGCUUUCAGUAUCGGCCGAUACCGAUAAAGAUCCGAUAUUGGCACAAACUUGUGCAUGACAAGUUUUGCACUCAGCUGCAAUGUAUUUUUCGGAAUUUCGAAAAAUACCGCCACACAGCCGACAUCACUCCUACUCCUUGCUACUUUGUUACUACCUUAGUACACACUGUUGUUGUGAUCACGUGGGCUCUGCAUGCUGGAUCCGGGCGCUGCUAGCUAGAGGUACCGGGGAUGGAGUCUGGAAUGGACUGCUUGUUUUGGAGUGCUGAUAUCAGAGAUUUUAGAUUCAGGCCAAUAUAAUCCAAUGUUUGUUUUUUUUUGGCUGAUAUCAGACUGAUAUCCGAUAUCAAUAUCGUAUCAGGACAGCCCUAAAUGCUAUCCAGCAGACGAGUUUGGUAUUGUUCACCUACAGACUCUAUGAUCCCGUAUUUGGCCAUGGUAAACCCACUGCGCUCAAUAUUGACUCUUUUGAGUGUUUACAUGUGUUUAAAAUGCUUGUUUUGCUGUAAUUUAAAUAGUUAUUUAACAAAAAAUGUAAAUUAACUGCUCAGAAAAUCCCUAACAUUAACAAACCGCAGCAUCAAUGACUGACAAAACAGCACACUAGCUUCGCACAAAGCAUCACACUGUACUCUGUCUUUAUUGUGUAUCACUGAGACACCUUCAACAUUGGGAUUGGACCAAAUGGACAUACUACUAGUCUGAGAUUCGUUCUUUUCUGUUAUGAGCAAGUUAUCCCAAAACUCCAUUACUUGUAAUUCCUGCCAAAAUUUGAUGAUGGAUUUCUCUUCAUUUAUAAAUAAGCUUCUGCAAAAGCUUUUAAAGUGUUUUGCUCAUGUAGUUUUUCCCUCCGCUGUUAAAUCUUGAGAUAACCAACGAUUGCUGAAAUACUUUUUUUGAUGUGAAGGUCCUGUAAAUGAUAAAAAUGCUGAACAUGAAAACCUGCCGUGUACAAUAACACCGGGGACAGUUUAAGCAUAUUAGCUGCCAAUUUUCCUUCUGUUUCAGGGGUAUAAGGCUCUUUGUCUCAGUGUGUCUCACCUGGUGAUAAACCUGUUAUCUUUGCCUCCCUGCCCUGCCUCUGGCCCGCUCUCCUCCACACUUUGGCCGACCGAUCAGACAGUCAGCCCCGUCGGAGUCAGUCAGGGACUCAGAGAGCCGUGCUAAAGGGACAUGGUGACUGUCACUUCAAAUCAUGCAGUGAAUAGAAAGAUGCCGUUUCCUUUUGUAGUGGAAGCCCUGGGUAAGAAAUGAUGAAUCAUUCCCAUGCUGCUUGCAAAUUUUUUAAGCAUUUUUCCAACUAGGGCAAAUUCUGUGAGCUCAUUUUCAAAAGCAUCAGAUGUGACCACAAACUUUUGGCGCCCACUCAGUGCUCGCUUUAGCAGCUCACAAUACUGCGGAUAUGUGAGUAAAGCAAGUAGAUGAUAUAGUCUCUCAUAAGGUUUAAUUAAUGCAAUAGAAAGACAGGCUAAUGGAGACAAAUGGGACUUAACCAAUCUAAUGAAUUUCCCUUCAGCGAGACAUUUAUAUAUUUAUCUAUUUCUCUCAUUAUCAUUCAUUAUAUAAACAGGACAGCCUCUGUCAAUUAGUUAUGAGUGCUUUUCCCUAUUAAAAUUGUUCAACAAGGGUUAUUUUUAACAGCAGGAAACAACAAAUCUUUCGACUUUAAAAUGCUAAAUUAGUGAUUCCUCUAAAAUGUAUUAACUCCAUUUUGUGCUACAUGUCUGGGGCAUGUUUUCCUUGCUGAUAUUUUGGACCCACAGUAAUGUGAAGCAUUUACACCAGACAGCCACAACAUCAUGAUCACCUUCCUGUUGUGUAGACCUCCUUAGUUGAGGGGUUUGGCUAGGGCUGGAAGAUACAGCCUCAAAUCAGUAUCACAAUAUAUUGAGCAGUUCACCUCAAUAACAAUAAAUGGAUGAUAACUACUUAACAAGCUGCUCACCCCCUCCCACAUUAACUUUGUUACAACUAAUUCUGCUAUAACUUUUGAACAGUCCUCCAUCUCUUCAUCUGUCUUUCCCUCUUUGUUACGGACCAGAUGGGGAGGAGUCAUGUAGCACAGCGUCUUAAAGUGACAUAACACCAUAGCCUACCUACACACCUCCAAAACCAACUUUUAUGUAUUUAUUUUUUUGACACCAAAUAUAUUGACAUGGGCAAAAUGACGUUGCUUAUUGUCGUAAAUUUCGGUUUAGGUCAGGGCUGCAGGAUAUUGGAAAAAAUUUACUUUUAAAUGUUUUUCAACCCUGCGAUAUGAGAUAUUAAAAAAUACAGGAAUUUUCUCCAGAUGACAUGAAUCGCACUGUCUGUCUUCGAGAUAUUUUCAGUUUGCUUUUAUUGUGCUGGGACUAGUUAUCUCUCGUUGUGGCAACAGCUGAAAGGCACUGCCGACACAGACCACGUGUUUGGUCGACCUCAUCCUUCUUGUAUCCGAAAUAAUUCCAGAUAACUGACAUUGCUUCUCUUUUUGGCAACAAGUCUUAAUUUUUCAGUGGUUUUUGUUCAUUUCUCAUUUUGCAAUCGUUGCUGUUGUCACGGGUGUUGUGCUGACAAACGCAUGCCUGCCGAGAAUUGCAUGCACCUCUCUGAAAUGCGCACCGCUUAUCGUAGAGUGGUCCACGGAAAUGUACAAUUUAAAACCCGUACAAUUCGUAUUUGUGGGGCUAAAUAGUGAUGAGUAAUGUUCUGAAAGUAAUUCUCAGCGGGUAUGCAUUUCUCGGCACAAUACCGGCAGUGCCAGUGACUCACUCCAUGUGCACGAGUGUGGUUUCCUUCUCUCUGAUUUUGAUUGAUGGCUGGCAGGGUAGCAACUAAGUAAAGAAUGAAUACGAUUGGUGGAUCGCUGAACAGCACAUGCAGAGUCACAUGCAGUUUAUGUCAGUCAGCUACCCUUCAAAUUAGAUGAGUUCAUUCGCCUCCGACACCGCAGGCUCUGCAGUGUGACUAUCGCGUACACGUGCAUCGCGAUGUCGAUGCUCAAACGAUAUAUUGUGCAAAUUUCCGAUUAUCACCCAGCCCUAGGUUUGUCCCCUUCACACUGGCAUUUGGUAGACCUCUAAAAGUUUUGGCACACAUGUAAUAACUCCAAGGUUCAAAGUAGUUAUAAUAGUUACAUUUUGUCCUGAUUGUGAGAGGGGAAAACAAAGGUGCGGGUGAGUCCUUAUGUUUCUCUAUGUGGGGCAACAUAAUUGGGUACAAAAGCAGCAGAUUAGACGAUUUGAUGCUUUAUUGCUUCCAAAGGCCUAUUCCCCAAAUAUGAUACAUCCUCUGACUGAAACGUCUGAUCUUUUGUCCAAGAUUUCCUGUAAAAGCCUGAAUCACUUACAGCCUCCCCUUCAUGUUGACCACACAAAGCAGAAGAGCUGCUCUGUUUCUCUACCAAGGCCAAAUAUGUUAACAAGGCAGCAGACUCCAACACUCUGGGACCUUCUCCAAAACCGCUCUUGGUGCCUCUCCAAUGUUUGGCUGCAUAUGUACUGUAUAUGAUUGCCUGGGCUCACAGGUGGCAGAGAGGAGACAGAUGUUGUACCUUUGUUUCCCCGCUUGUUAAAUGUGUCUCCCAUGAGGUUCUUUUUUGUCACCGGGCCAUAUCAAUAAAAGAGUGUGCACCAACAUCCACUUUCACACAUUUUCUUUCUGCUUUUAGCUUCUUUUGCUCUCCCCCUCCAGCCAUUUCCAUUCCCACAGACCGUAUAAGUGCUUCUGUUUCCCUCGGUGGUGAGUGUGUGGGCACAGACAGACAUGAGUCACCUAAUUUGAUCAAACAGCAUCUUUCAAAAAAAAAAAAAAAAACAGACAAAACAUGAUGACACCAGCGGAUCUUUUCUCUGUGCAUUCCUCCUUGAUGGAAAUCAGGGUGAUGCAAAAUCCAGCGCUCAUUGUGAUUAUAAUGAGGCAUACUUUUGAGGUAUAGAACAAUUUGUGGAUGUAGAGUCUUUUCUGAUUUCAUCACUUGAGAUAAUUGUGACUGAUUUUAUUACAAUUUCAAGAGUUUGUUUAGGAUCUUAACCCCUGAGAAACCAAGCGAGUUUUUUUUCCAGAUAUGUUUUUGAAGAGAAAAACAAGCAGAAUAUGGCUCCCUAGCAGAAAUUAAUUUGAGCUUGCACUGGCCUAUCAUGGCUAAGCUUAAGUGUGCUUUUUCCUGUCUCUCCUCUUCCAUUUUUCAUGCCUUCCCUCUUUUGCAUUCUAACCUUAACUUUUCUCCCCUCGAGCUCCUCUUUUUUUAAUCCUCCAGCAAACCUCCCUCUCUCUCUCCCUCUCUCUUGCGCCUUAUUUUCUCCACACUCUCGCCUCACUUCACCCCUGCUUUACAUUUCUUCUCCUCUAGCUAGCUCAUAUCUCUGUGUCUUGCUGUUCUCUCCUCAUCCUCGGAGUGAUGUAAGGCUGCUACAGGUGCUGUCUUCAGAGGGCUGAGCGAGACAAACAACCGGGACUAAAGAUGUUUUGUUUUAUGUCAUUAUAUCAGAGUUUCUAUGUCCUUGUUUUAUCCCGUUAAGUAGGCUGUAAUGGUUAAGUGAAGCCAUCUCUUCAGCCUCUCUCGCUACAAGCCUGAGUUCUUUGAUAGUCUUUUCUGCUCUCCCCUGGAAAAAAAAAAGAAACUGAAGAUGUUUUUUUUUCUUCUUUUCCCUAUCAACUGGCUUGAAAUUCUUAAGCUCCUUCAAAACAUCUUUCUUUGUGUAUAACCCGGCUCACCUCAUGUCUCCCGCCUCUCCCUAUAAGCAAGGUUUGCCACCCACAAGUUCACCAUCAAUUACUUAGUAAGAGUAAAGGUGUGGGUGAGCAGAAGUCUGAACACACAUCGAGAGCUAGAGACUACUUUCACAGAGUUUCUCUUAUAUUGCAUAUAAUUUUAGGGUUGGUAACAGGAUAGAUCCAACUGUAUGCUGCACACAGUUUGCAGUUUUGCACCCAUACUUGUGUGGAUGCAAGAAUCUGCAAUGUAAGGUAAAUGUCCGUAAUUAAAUUCAGACAUUGGUGUAUCUUGUCCUGGAUUGAUCUGUAGACAUCCUCUUGUCCAUCUUCUCUUUCAAGCUUGGUUGUUUUUUAUCCAUCCUGCUACAUGCUGCUCCCCUGACUCUCGCGGAAAAACAUUUUCCCCAAAGGUCUCUGAAAAUUUUCACUGUUUGUGUUUUUCAAAAGAUUUUGAUUAGUGUUUCACUCCUGACAGUUGUUCAAACCCUUGAAAUUAUAACUGACCUUCUCAGGAAUUAUAGCACAACAAAGCCAAAACAAUUAUUGAAAAUUUGGAUUUGAUUUAUAUUUUGGAGUGUAGCUGACCUGUCACGCAGACAAAGGAAGCAAAAAGCGAUAUUAGCACCACAAUGGAGUGGACAGCUCCACCUCAGAAAAACCAACACAACACUAUUUACUGGUUUACUGUAAUAAUGGUAACACUUAAUGUGACGCCUAUCAUUAUAAAUAUAUGUAUAAUGUGUUAUAACCAUGUUAUAGCACUUUAUAACUAUAGUUAUAAACACUCAUAAAUAAUCAUAAUGCUUUACAUGCUUUAAUACAUUAUAAUACUUGAUCUUGUAAGUCAUGAUAUAAUGCUUUACAGUGUGUUAUGAUUAUUGCUAUAAAGCAUUAUGAUCAUUUAUGAGUGUUUAUAAAUAUAGUUAUACAGUGCUAUAAUGUAGUGAUGCACGAUAUGAAAAAUUUCAACCGAUACCGAUAACCGAUAAUUUUCUUCUUCUCAUGGCCGAUACCGAUAACCCAUAAAUUCAUAUUUUUACAUUUAUUAUAAUCUUCAUAUAAUCUGCAGUUUGUGCAGGAUGCAGUGAUUGAAAACUGAUAUUUUUGUUGCUCUGGCCUAUCUAGAACAACAAACUAAAGUUUUUGGCUCUUCAAAUGUUUAUUUUUUCCAUGUCAUCACAAAAAUAUGUGGUCAUUAGCUAUAAAUAACAAUAACAGAGCAAAAAGCAGAACUUCAUUUGACCAAAACAGUGCAUCCCCUGAACUGUUCAACAGAACUGUAGACUGUAAAGGAGCUAUUAUGAGACGUUAGGAUUAGCAUGCUGACCGGACUAACAUCUGACGUCCAUAUGUCUGUGGUAAAACUCACGUGUAGUCCGUUGUUGUCGAUCAGGUUGUGAAUGUAUGUGGCGACAAUAUCAUAGAGUGCAGGAAGGGACACAUCCGAGAAGAAGCGGCGGCUUGGGAGAGUGUAACGUGGCUCCAAGUGUGCUAAUAACUUACGAAAACCCGGGUUCUCAACGACGGAAAAAGGCUGGUCGUCGACCGCUAUGAACUCCAUCACUUUGUCGUUAAUGGCCUUAGCCUUUUCGCUGUCUCUUGAGAAGCUUUUGCAGUUUUCAAACGCCUGCUGAAUGGGGACAUUGAUCCUCCGUAGUGUUGUUGUCUUAGCUUUAGUACCGCUAGCAGCUUCGGCGGCUGUCUCAUAGUCUUUUAAUACUGCUUCGCCGCGAUGGCGACUUUUCAGAUGAGCUAUCAGAUUCGUUGUGUUAAAACUUGACGUCUUCAUUCCGCCUCCCGGAAUCCUCGCUGAACAGGUUUUGCAUAUAGCAGCUGUUGUCAUCUUCUGCCACUGAGAAAAACGACCAUGCUGGUGAAGACAUUUUAUUAUCAGUCAGGUAGUGACAGGGGUCAGGCUUGGGACCUGCGAGUAAGGCGCAACGGGCGGCUACUCCGCCUGCAAACGUUACUCGUAAUUUCAAUAAUAUAUCGGCUCUUUCUAUCGGAAAAAAGGCACCUAUCGGACCGAUAAAAAAUGACGUAAUUUUCCCUCAAAUCGGCCGAUAUUCUAUCGGUCCGAUAAAUAUCGUGCAUCCCUACUAUAAUGUGAUUAUAACACAUUAUACAUACAGUAUAUUUAUAAUGCGUUAUAGAGAUAAGCAUCAAAUAAAGUGUUACCGUACUAUUAAACAACCUGAUAGGGGAAAAUGGGUUUUCCAGAAUAAGGUCACAUAAUUACAGCAUUAAAUUUGUAAGAUUAUGAGAAAAAAGAGGAUUUACUCAGAGUUCAGCCUGAAGGGGAAAAUCAGAAAGGCACCCAGCCUUCACAGCUAAUAUGAGGAUUAUGAAGCGUCUUGUUAAGUUCAACUUUUGUAAAGGUUUCCCUAAAAAAAAAAAAAUGCUUAAUGCUAAAUCUGUCAGUGCAACAGUAUUACUCUAAGAAUCAAGGUUUUGUGUAAAUUGAGGGAGUUUAAUAUGAAGAUGAGCAGGCUAAUUGACAGCCUGUGAACACCUGUGCAACCGCUCUUUGUCCCCAGCUGUUGAGUUUGAUUUCACAAGAUCCCCCUUAAUUUACAUAGAUUAGCCAUAGCUUCUAAUUUCUCACCACUUAAUUAUCAUUAACUUUCACCUCUUCACGUUUAUUCUGGAAAUCUCAUUUCCUUACAUUUAGUGUGGCCAUAAUCCUCCAUCAAAGCUGUGGGCUAAAGCAACAGUAACCCAAAAAAGGACCUGCUAUAUGACCCGAAAGAUGGCAGCUACAGCAAAACAUUCAUAUGACUGAAACCUAUGAUUAUGUAUGUUAAAGCAGCCAGUGUGGUAGAUUAUCAACAUAAUGUCAGUGUUUUUAAAUGCUGAAUGAAAUGAGUCGUGUCUGGGCUCUAAACUGAAGAGUUUGUGGUACAGAACUUGCUGGAGUCAAGAUGUUAAAAAGCCUUGUAGGGCACAUCUAGAGAUUCAAGGUAACAGAAUGGCUUUGAGAGAAAAAGUGUGUAACUACAUGCCCUAAAACCCUGCUUCCAUCUUUCUCAAGUGUCCUUCACAAAGAACAUGAAAUCCCCUCUAACUUUGUGCUCUGUGUCCUGCUGCGAUCCAACCUCUGUGUGUUCCCUUCAAGAUCAAUAAAGAAUCGCCUCGGUUUCUCAUCCUAUAGAAAGUGAACGCUUUCCAGGUGCCAGUGCGGGCUCGAGCAAGGGGAAUAAAAGCUGCUGGAAGAUUCCUGAUCAGAUAUAAGAGCAGAAUAGAGAACCAGGAGAGCCAAAGCAACCAUAAAAAAAAAAAAAUCUCAGUUACAGCUGAGAGAAGACACGGUUUUGAACUGGAGUACAAUCAAGUCUCUGGUGAGGUUGAAUGGAGAACAGUGGUUCCAAACCAUCGCCUGAGGAGACCCCUGUGAGAUGAGUAUAAUCAGUGAUGCUGCAAAAGUUUGUAAGAGUGGUAGAGGGUCAUGGUUGGGAAUGAGUGUUUGGGAUGUCACCAACCUUUUCCCUUUAAACUAGCUGAUAAAAUUCUCAUUGGUAUCUUGUAUCUUGAAGACCCAAUUCUUCACCACUUUAAAGCAUCAUAAACUUUCCGGCUGUUUUUUUAACCUCCCUUUCUUGAAUGUUUAUUACCUACAGAUUGGAUCAGUGUAAGGCCUUGUAAGAGGAUACAGCAGAAAUUUAGGUGUUUGGAAAAAAACAUGAAUGGAGUCGUAAGGUGAAAUAGAAAAAUUUCGACACUUCCAGUCCACUCACCAUAAGAGGCUUUGGAGCAUAAAAAUACAUUUUCAGUCCUUUUUCCUCUUUCUUUGUACAAUGUAAUAUCACUUCAAGGGUUGUAUAUGUCCAAAUGGCAUAUUUUCAGGGACUUGUCAGAAAGUUUUCAGAAUACUUAAACGAUACAGCAUAAAAGAGAGGCAACAUUUUAUCAACACAGUCAAAGAAGCUAAAAAAAGGUCUGUAAAGUGGAGAAAUUAAAGAUAAAAGAUGCAGGUAAACAAGUGAAACAAUUCAGUAAAUGUUUAUAAAGAGUGUUUACGUAGUGCUAAGGAACAUUUUUUUUUGCAAUUUUGCUUGAGAGCAUUGCCGAGGGCAGAUCUGCCUUAUUAAAGAUAUAGAAAAGAGAAUAUGUGUUUAUACUUGAACUUCAAGACUUGGCAGCUGUUUUGGAGCAUAAUGAUAAAUGUGGAUAAGUUUGUAUGUAUUUCUGAGUGAAAGAACAUUUAAAUAGUAUUACAAAAGACACCUUAUCACCACAUGCCAGUGGUAAGUUGUGACAAAACACUCACAAUACAUUAGGACUUUGUCUCGAUUCAGGGACUGCUAAAUCCUUUCAGGAUGUUGACUAGAAACUGCAGAUAGCUAUGACAUUAACCAGACAUCAGAAUAGCCAAACUUCUCUGAAAUAGCAUCCUUUGAAAGGAGAUAAGCUGAGAAACAGCGUGGCAGUUGAAAAAUUAAGCCUUUCAUAAUUGCAUACAUCUGUGCUAAGUCUCUAUUAUAAAGCACAGGGUAUGAAAUGCCACUAAUUUAAAGCAGUUGAAGAGAGAGUGACUACCUGCUCAAUAUACGCUUAAGUUGUGCUCCGAGCAAUUACAGUGGCAGCUGUUUUUAAGCCAUCUCAAAGAGUCAGAUAUAUAAAGGCAGACAAGUGUACCAGGGAGAAGUGAGGAAUUAAAUGUUCAAAUAAACAGCAAAAUUAUAAGUUCUCCCGAACUGUCAGAACAUAAAGUAACAACACUGCCCCUGGGAGGCCGUGUUUGUGUGCUAUUUUCAGAGAACGGAAAGGGCAAUAUCUUUAUCUGAAGCUCGGGUGGACUUGUGGAUUUGGACUUCAAAUUCUGACGGGGCAGUUGUGCUUUUAUUUUUGUCGUCUUGUCUGUUUUUGGCACAGGCUAAGCUUUGAGCUCAGGCCUCAAUAACACACUAGACUUAAAGGUUCAUGGACUGUCCUGAGGGGCCCUCUGACAGGGUUUAGGGGGAAGAGGGGGGUGGUGAGAUGGAGGGAGCGAGGGAAGGGCGAUAGGAGACCAGACUGACACCAGUGGCUGAUAGCUAGACUGAAAAACCUCUGACUCCUUCCUUACCUGAAACACACACACAUGCACAGUAUGUGCACACAAAGGGGGCUGAAAGAAGGACAAAGCCUGAGGGUCUCAGUAGGGAAUCAAUCCUUGGGAAGAUGGAUUUCAAAGUGGAGGCACCUUGCUCCUUUUCUACCUUUCCUUUCCUUAUCUCCUUCUCUUUUUUUAUCCCUCUCUCACUUUCACUGCAAGGUGAAAAAAAUAACCUGCUGCAAUCAGGAAAAAUGUCAGCUUCACACACAGAUGCAUGGAUAUGCACCACCUGCAGAGAGCAAGUGCUCACCUGCACUUAUGCUCUCUCUUUAGUUUGUAAUGACCACUAACAGCAUUACAGUAAUGGAUAGGGCCAGCAAUUUCCAAGGUACCAAUUUUAGCUUUUGCGCCUUCCAUGUUAAAAAUAACAAACACCGUACGACCUGUUGUGUUUUUCAAAUGAAACAGCCUUUUUCAUCACUGUAACCUUUAACACAGUUAAAUCAGAUGCAGUCAUUUGACUUCACCUUGGCCUCUUCACUGCCGUUUGCUCAGCAGUCAUGGCUCUUUCACGAGCAGGUGAAGAAACUCGUGAUCAGAAUGAGGUUCAAUUUUGUUACUGAUAAAAUCUGUUUAUUCAUUAGAAACCAAAGAAGCCAAGAGUGCUUGUGGUGCAUAUCAGACUCUCAGAUUUUCCAGGCAGAGAGUGGCAGGUGAGCAGCUGUACCCAAUAACUUAAAAUAGGAUUUCUUCAAAUCACAACUUGUCUUCUUCUCUUUGAGUGAGACCAACAUCAGUCUUGUUGAAGAUUAGGGAUGUGACAAAAAUCUGUGCCAGGAGACCUAUAUAAAAUGUUCUUCCUUGAGCUGCGUCACCCCACUGCAGUUGGUGAUGGAUUGGUCCAAGGUCUCCAUACAAAGAAGCGGCUGAUGGAAGAGAGUGGGUGUGUUGUUUUUAGCCUUUUUGCUAAAGAAAUCAGGCAAAGUUAAUAAGAUGUUUGGUGGCUUGUACUAUGGCUGGGACCCUAUAUGUACUGUUGAUGAAGUUAGGUGCUGUUCUGAGCAUUAUUUGUGGCUAUAGAGUGGUGUUUUGGUUGAGGUUUGUGUGUGGCUCCUCAGACCACUGUGUAUUGCUAUUCUGUGGUCGUUACUAAAGUUGGUAUAACUAGAGAAGCAAGCGGUUGGCAACAUUCAUCUCUUAAGGGGGUGUCUAACUUGGUGUUACAGUGUGCUUGACCCUAACUUAAUUUAACGCCGGAAUAUCCCUUUAAGACUUAUUGGAGUGAAAAGUUGUCUCACAAGAUCAGUACACCAUUUCUGAAGACAGCACUCUGUGAAAAUGGUCAUUUUUAACUGCAAUAACAGUAUUAAACCAACAUGGUGGUAACUCCGACCAUACUGCCAAAGAAGAAGAAAAUGGAGUUUGCUGCAGAGAGCAUCUAAUUUAUGCGACGAAAUAUGGAAGUUGUGGACAAAAUGAUACACUGAUCCCCAGAAGCUGGUCCAACCUCCAAUUUACUGUAUUUAUGUCAUUACCCCAGUAAGAGCAUUCCCAAUAAACACAUUGCAGAAGUCGGCAUUCAUCCCAAUAAAUCUACAACUAUAAUUGAGCUAACAAGCACUGCUUCCUCCCACAGCAUGUGUGCAUUUUGCCACUUUGAUGGAGGUUUUGUGUUACUGUCUAUGCUUCACAGCAGGGGUGUGCAGAAGCAACACAUUUCAUGUGUGUAAACGGAAAUUUCAACUCUGACAAACCAACUUUUCUGAGAAAAAACAAAAACAUGUUGGAAAGAAUCUAAAUUGAGCACAGUUUGUUUGACAUGGAUGAAUCCUGAAUCAAUGGGACUGCAGGUAAACAAUGUCAAAUUGGUUUACGGAGAGUAGCUCAUGUUGGCAGAGCUAUAGGUGCUACUGUGUAUAUAUUAAUUCUCAUUCAGACAACAUUUCUGUGUUCCUUCUAGGAUCUCUGGCUCUAUCUCAGUCUAAAGACAAGAUUUUUAGAUUAUCAGUGACCCUAAAUUUCCCAUAGCAUGAUUGCAAGUGUUCCCAGAUUGUUACCACGAUAUUAAAUAUUGUAAUUGCUCAUCUAAUAUUUUUCAUUUCAGUCUUACAUUUCUGUUAGUACAUUGGUACAGCUGUCAUGAAAUUUAAAGUUAGCUAAAACAACAAGAUAGAAAUAUGUUCAGUUUUGCUCCAAGGUUUUUCUUGGGUCUUUAUGAAGAUUGACUGCUUUAGAGACAGCUUCCAGUGGCCACUUAAGGAACUGCAGUUUUUUUUUGUACGUAUCAGUGGCUUCAUUUCUCAAGUGUUUAAAGUCCUGCUCAGAUCGGGGUUUUUUUGUUUGUUUGUUUGUUUUUACUACUUGAAUUGUUCUCAGUGGUCUUUCAAUUGUGAUCAUGAAGUUUUAACCAAAAAUCAUGUGACCUGUGUCGUUUUCGAGGGCUCAUAGUAGCUCAUUAGCAAUUGCCUCUGAGUCGUGGGCGGAGAAACCGCUUGGAUUGGUUACGUAUGAUAUGUCACUGUUUCUGAACCUUUAGUUUGAGUCUGCCGGAGAUUCACAGCGACUUGAAUGAAGAAAUACCCAGGAAAGUAAUUUCACAUUUAGUUUUCUCAUGGUAUGUCCUCUAGCAUCAGAAAAAAUGCCAUAUGAACAUAUAAAAAAAAACAAGAAAAACACAAUUUUCAUCGGAAUG